GCGUGCGAGUGCUCACCUGCUCAUUUAAAUAGGUUUCAGGUAACAGGUGUGAAUAUUCCAUGUAUACUGUACAUCUUGCAGUACAUAAUCACGUACAUAGGCAGUACAAGACCUAAACCUAGGUGUGCUCAGGAUGACUCAUGCAUUGAGAACCACAUUUAAGGGUUUACACCUGUUGGAGUAAAGUCUAAAGAUCUAACCAGACCCAAACCUAGUUUUAGGGUUCUACAGGGAGAUCCAGUAAAAAUGAGAAUUAUUUAAAAAAAAUAAUAAUAUUCAACAGUAGCUUUGAAA
Molecule: long non-coding RNA, 294 nt
Organism: Eurytemora carolleeae
Lineage: Eukaryota; Metazoa; Arthropoda; Copepoda; Calanoida; Temoridae
Exons: 2
Source: RefSeq, a predicted model, not a curated record